Non-coding RNA from Lolium perenne, 352 nucleotides. The record is from RefSeq and is a predicted model, not a curated record. Lineage: Eukaryota; Viridiplantae; Streptophyta; Magnoliopsida; Poales; Poaceae.
UGAGGCAGGAAAAAGGGAAUAACUUAUGUGGAUACUACGUCUGCACCUUCAUGCGUGACAUGUCCUGUCCCAAGGGUGGGGAUCCCCAAAUACACCACACUCGUAUGACACGCCUGCGGGACACUCUCAUAACAGCGGAUCAAAUAAAAGCAAUUCAAGAGGAAAUCGCGGGAUUCUUUAUUACCGAGGUCCUUACCCCAGGUGGAGAGCACUAUCGGAAGAUCGUGACGUCGGACGAUAUUCGUUCAGGAAAAGUUGUAUUGUAAAUAUGCAUGCAUUACGUGUACUGUGUUGACUAUGUCGUGUACUGUUGACGAUGUCUAUAUAUAUUCAUGACGAUUUUUUGUGGUUU